Molecule: unclassified non-coding RNA, 220 nt
Filed under: uncultured Solirubrobacteraceae bacterium
Lineage: Bacteria; Bacillati; Actinomycetota; Thermoleophilia; Solirubrobacterales; Solirubrobacteraceae
Description: contains 16S-23S intergenic spacer region
Source: RNAcentral
UCCGGUUUGUCACCGGCAGUCUCGCAUGAGUCCCCAACUUAAUGCUGGCAACAUGCGACGGGGGUUGCGCUCGUUGCGGGACUUAACCCAACAUCUCACGACACGAGCUGACGACAGCCAUGCACCACCUGUGAAGAUGCCCCGAAGGGAAGACGUGUUUCCACGCCGGUCAUCCACAUGUCAAGCCCAGGUAAGGUGGGGAUGACGUCAAGGUACGGAC